RNAcentral lists this ribosomal RNA (547 nucleotides) under uncultured bacterium. RNAcentral's name for it is "bacterial SSU rRNA". It matches the Rfam family "Bacterial small subunit ribosomal RNA", at positions 355 to 896 of the family's 1533-position model. The record is from RNAcentral.
UGGGGAAUAUUGCGCAAUGGGGGGAACCCUGACGCAGCCAUGCCGCGUGAAUGAAGAAGGCCUUCGGGUUGUAAAGUUCUUUCGGUAUUGAGGAAGGUUGAUGUGUUAAUAGCACAUCAAAUUGACGUUAAAUACAGAAGAAGCACCGGCUAACUUCGUGCCAGCAGCCGCGGUAAUACGGAGGGUGCGAGCGUUAAUCGGAAUAACUGGGCGUAAAGGGCACGCAGGCGGUUAUUUAAGUGAGGUGUGAAAGCCCUGGGCUUAACCUAGGAAUUGCAUUUCAGACUGGGUAACUAGAGUACUUUAGGGAGGGGUAGAAUUCCACGUGUAGCGGUGAAAUGCGUAGAGAUGUGGAGGAAUACCGAAGGCGAAGGCAGCCCCUUGGGAAUGUACUGACGCUCAUGUGCGAAAGCGUGGGGAGCAAACAGGAUUAGAUACCCUGGUAGUCCACGCUGUAAACGCUGUCGAUUUGGGGAUUGGGCUUAGAGCUUGGUGCCCGUAGCUAACGUGAUAAAUCGACCGCCUGGGGAGUACGGCCGCAAGGUUA